Dipodomys ordii (Ord's kangaroo rat) is the source of this 70-nucleotide non-coding RNA. The record is from Rfam. Lineage: Eukaryota; Metazoa; Chordata; Mammalia; Rodentia; Heteromyidae.
GGGAAAGUGGCUCAGUGGUAGAGCGCUUGCCUUGCACGCCUGAGGCCCUGGGUUCGAUUCCUCAGCACCA